GGGAAGAGAUCCCACUUGGUCAAUAUCAAUAUCAGAGUUUAAGAGAAUUUGGGAUUUUAAGAGAGAGAAGAACGGACAAAUAAAUAGUGACCUAGACCCUUGGGACGAAGCAUACUUCACAUGGUUGAUGAAGUCUUCUGCUUACAGCUUGGACUCCUUGGUUGUAGCAUCAUAUUUUCCUUUGACACAAUGUAUAGAGGGUUUGAAGGUGCUGGUUGAGUUAUUAUUUGGUGUGACAUUUCGUAGUAUCCCUCUUGCACCUAGGGAGUCAUGGCAUACAGAUGUGCUUAAAAUGUCCCUUUAUCACCCCGAAGAGGUACAUAUAAGACUUCCUUUUAAAAGUUAUAGUGCUUUAAUCAUUUAAGAAACUACUGAGGUAUAAAUGAAAAGAUUAUAAGUAAAAUGUUUGUGGCUGGUAUAUAGGAAAGGAGAUUUGUUAAUUUAGUGAACCAAAUUAAUUCCUUGAAGAUUUGUUGAGAUAUUUGGAAUUAAUUUUGUAUGAAAUGAAUUUAGUGCAUAAGUUUCUACCUUCAAACUUAGUGUUGAGCAUGGUAUGAUGGAGCUUUCUACCACCAUGAUAGUGGAAUGGCUCAGUUUAUUUCCCAUAGGCCUUCAUAGACAAUCUAGUUCACAUUUUGGCUUGCAAAUCCAUGUGAAAUGUCCAGUUAGAAUUAAUAGUCUACAAGAAUUUUCCAAAAAAGUAAACUGCUGUUAAUUGUGGAUGAUGUUUAAAAUCAAGUCAUUUGCUUCUUUUUUUUUC
Camellia sinensis is the source of this 760-nucleotide non-coding RNA. Lineage: Eukaryota; Viridiplantae; Streptophyta; Magnoliopsida; Ericales; Theaceae. The record is from RefSeq and is a predicted model, not a curated record.